UUGAAGAAGAGGCAAGUUCGGUCAUGAUGAAGAAAAAUCAAGGCGUACCCCCUUUAACAAUAGGGAGCAGCUCGAGGCUGCAAAGAGGUCAUUAUAAUGGCACUGUAAAGGGAUAGCUCCAAACUAACAGAGCUGCUUCUAAGAUGAAAAAAAACUCCUAAUGUCAAGAUUUGAAGAAAG
This is a long non-coding RNA of Lemur catta (Ring-tailed lemur), 180 nucleotides long. RefSeq lists it as uncharacterized. The transcript is spliced from 3 exons. The record is from RefSeq and is a predicted model, not a curated record. NCBI's taxonomy places the organism in Eukaryota, Metazoa, Chordata, Mammalia, Primates, Lemuridae.